GAGGAAAGCGGGGGGCGUGCCUAAUACAUGCAAGUCGAGCGAACAGACGAGGAGCUUGCUCCUCUGACGUUAGCGGCGGACGGGUGAGUAACACGUGGAUAACCUACCUAUAAGACUGGGAUAACUUCGGGAAACCGGAGCUAAUACCGGAUAAUAUAUUGAACCGCAUGGUUCAAUAGUGAAAGACGGUUUUGCUGUCACUUAUAGAUGGAUCCGUGUCGCAUUAGCUAGUUGGUAAGGUAACGGCUUACCAAGGCAACGAUGCGUAGCCGACCUGAGAGGGUGAUCGGCCACACUGGAACUGAGACACGGUCCAGACUCCUACGGGAGGCAGCAGUAGGGAAUCUUCCGCAAUGGGCGAAAGCCUGACGGAGCAACGCCGCGUGAGUGAUGAAGGUCUUCGGAUCGUAAGACUCUGUUAUUAGGGAAGAACAAAUGUGUAAGUAACUAUGCACGUCUUGACGGUACCUAAACAGAAAGCCACGGCUAACUACGUG
RNAcentral lists this ribosomal RNA (497 nucleotides) under uncultured bacterium. RNAcentral's name for it is "partial 16S ribosomal RNA". It matches the Rfam family "Bacterial small subunit ribosomal RNA", at positions 28 to 507 of the family's 1533-position model. The record is from RNAcentral.